GACGAAAGAUGGCGGCGUGCUUAACACAUGCAAGUCGAACGGAAAGGCCCUGCUUUUGUGGGGUGCUCGAGUGGCGAACGGGUGAGUAACACGUGAGUAACCUGCCCUUGACUUUGGGAUAACUUCAGGAAACUGGGGCUAAUACCGGAUAGGAGCUCCUGCUGCAUGGUGGGGGUUGGAAAGUUUCGGCGGUUGGGGAUGGACUCGCGGCUUAUCAGCUUGUUGGUGGGGUAGUGGCUUACCAAGGCUUUGACGGGUAGCCGGCCUGAGAGGGUGACCGGCCACAUUGGGACUGAGAUACGGCCCAGACUCCUACGGGAGGCAGCAGUGGGGAAUAUUGCACAAUGGGCGGAAGCCUGAUGCAGCAACGCCGCGUGCGGGAUGACGGCCUUCGGGUUGUAAACCGCUUUCGCCUGUGACGAAGCGUGAGUGACGGUAAUGGGUAAAGAAGCACCGGCUAACUACG
RNAcentral lists this ribosomal RNA (466 nucleotides) under uncultured bacterium. RNAcentral describes it as "partial 16S ribosomal RNA". It matches the Rfam family "Bacterial small subunit ribosomal RNA", at positions 28 to 505 of the family's 1533-position model. The record is from RNAcentral.